UGGUUUAGAGUACCACACUUGGAGAGC
RNAcentral lists this non-coding RNA (27 nucleotides) under Homo sapiens (human). The record is from RNAcentral. Lineage: Eukaryota; Metazoa; Chordata; Mammalia; Primates; Hominidae.